AUACGGAGGAUGCAAGCGUUAUCCGGAUUUAUUGGGUUUAAAGGGUGCGUAGGCGGUUUGCUAAGCGGGAGGUGAAAUGCCGGCGCUCAACGUCGGAAGUGCCUCCCGAACUGGUGGACUGGAAUGACUCUGCCGUGGGAGGAAUGUGUAGUGUAGCGGUGAAAUGCUUAGAGAUUACACAGAACACCGAUUGCGAAGGCAUCUCACGAAGGGUUGAUUGACGCUGAGGCACGAAAGCGUGGGGAUCAAACAGGAUUAGAUACCCUGGUAGUCCACGCAGUAAACGAUGAUGGCUAACCGCUGGUUUAUUCGGAUCAGUGGCCAAGCGUAAGCGAUAAGCCAUCCACCUGGGGAGUACGACCGCAAGGUUGAAACUCAAAGGAAUUGACGGGG
Molecule: ribosomal RNA, 393 nt
Filed under: uncultured bacterium
Lineage: Bacteria
Description: partial 16S ribosomal RNA
Rfam family: Bacterial small subunit ribosomal RNA
Source: RNAcentral